RNAcentral lists this unclassified non-coding RNA (337 nucleotides) under soil metagenome. RNAcentral's name for it is "partial contains 5.8S ribosomal RNA, internal transcribed spacer 2, and large subunit ribosomal RNA". The stretch from base 1 to 120 matches the Rfam family "5.8S ribosomal RNA", at positions 35 to 154 of the family's 154-position model. The record is from RNAcentral.
GAUGAAGAACGCAGCGAAAUGCGAUAAGUAAUGUGAAUUGCAGAAUUCAGUGAAUCAUCGAAUCUUUGAACGCACAUUGCGCCCGCCAGUUUUCUGGCGGGCAUGCCUGUUCGAGCGUCAUUUCAACCAUCAAGCCCCCGGGCUUGUGUUGGGGACCUGCGGCUGCCGCAGGCCCUGAAAAGCAGUGGCGGGCUCGCUGUCACACCGAGCGUAGUAGAUUUUAUCUCGCUCUGGGCGUGCUGCGGGUUCCGGCCGUUAAACCACCCUUUUAACCCAAGGUUGACCUCGGAUCAGGUAGGAAGACCCGCUGAACUUAAGCAUAUCAAUAAGCGGAGGA